GACAGAGGUGCCGAGCGUUAGGCGGAAUCACUGGGCUUAAAGCGUGUGUAGGCGGCCCGUUAAGUGCCUCGUGAAAUCCCCCGGCUCAACCGGGGAACUGCCGGGUAUACUGGCGGGCUUGGGUCGCUCAGGGGCAGACGGAACAGGCGGUGGAGCGGUGAAAUGCGUAGAUAUGCGGAGGAACACCGAUGGCGAAGGCAAUCCCCUGGGCCUGCACUGACGCUCAUGCACGAAAGCGUGGGGAGCAAACAGG
RNAcentral lists this ribosomal RNA (253 nucleotides) under uncultured bacterium. Its description in RNAcentral is "partial 16S ribosomal RNA". It matches the Rfam family "Bacterial small subunit ribosomal RNA", at positions 524 to 776 of the family's 1533-position model. The record is from RNAcentral.